Molecule: transfer RNA, 73 nt
Filed under: Chlorobiota bacterium
Lineage: Bacteria; Pseudomonadati; Chlorobiota
Description: tRNA-Phe
Rfam family: tRNA
About the family: Transfer RNA (tRNA) molecules are approximately 80 nucleotides in length. Their secondary structure includes four short double-helical elements and three loops (D, anti-codon, and T loops).
Source: RNAcentral
GGUGCGGUAGCUCAGGAGGUAGAGCACCGGACUGAAAAUCCGGUGGUCGGCGGUUCGACUCCGCCCCGCACCA